Molecule: ribosomal RNA, 425 nt
Filed under: uncultured bacterium
Lineage: Bacteria
Description: bacterial SSU rRNA
Rfam family: Bacterial small subunit ribosomal RNA
Source: RNAcentral
GACGAACGCNGGCGGCGUGCUUAACACAUGCAAGUCGAACGAAGAGCGAUGGAAGCUUGCUUCUAUCAAUCUUAGUGGCGAACGGGUGAGUAACGCGUAAUCAACCUGCCCUUCAGAGGGGGACAACAGUUGGAAACGACUGCUAAUACCGCAUACGAUCUAACCUCGGCAUCGAGGAUAGAUGAAAGGUGGCCUCUACAUGUAAGCUAUCACUGAAGGAGGGGAUUGCGUCUGAUUAGCUAGUUGGAGGGGUAACGGCCCACCAAGGCGAUGAUCAGUAGCCGGUCUGAGAGGAUGAACGGCCACAUUGGGACUGAGACACGGCCCAGACUCCUACGGGAGGCAGCAGUGGGGAAUCUUCCGCAAUGGACGAAAGUCUGACGGAGCAACGCCGCGUGAGUGAUGACGGCCUUCGGGUUGUAAAG